Molecule: ribosomal RNA, 468 nt
Filed under: uncultured bacterium
Lineage: Bacteria
Description: partial 16S ribosomal RNA
Rfam family: Bacterial small subunit ribosomal RNA
Source: RNAcentral
GACGAACGCUGGCGGCGUGCUUAACACAUGCAAGUCGAACGGAAAGGCCCUGCUUUUGUGGGGUGCUCGAGUGGCGAACGGGUGAGUAACACGUGAGUAACCUGCCCUUGACUUUGGGAUAACUUCAGGAAACUGGGGCUAAUACCGGAUAGGAGCUCCUGCUGCAUGGUGGGGGUUGGAAAGUUUCGGCGGUUGGGGAUGGACUCGCGGCUUAUCAGCUUGUUGGUGGGGUAGUGGCUUACCAAGGCUUUGACGGGUAGCCGGCCUGAGAGGGUGACCGGCCACAUUGGGACUGAGAUACGGCCCAGACUCCUACGGGAGGCAGAAGUGGGGAAUAUUGCACAAUGGGCGGAAGCCUGAUGCAGCAACGCCGCGUGCGGGAUGACGGCCUUCGGGCUGUAAACCGCUUUCGCAUGUGACGAAGCGUGAGUGACGGUAAUGGGUAAAGAAGCACCGGCUAACUACGUG